GGGCCCGCACAAGCGGUGGAGUAUGUGGUUUAAUUCGAUGCAACGCGAAGAACCUUACCAGGGUUUGACAUCCUGCGAAUCUUUUGGAAACGAGAGAGUGCCUUCGGGAACGCAGUGACAGGUGGUGCAUGGCUGUCGUCAGCUCGUGUCGUGAGAUGUUGGGUUAAGUCCCGCAACGAGCGCAACCCACGUCUUUAGUUGCCAGCAUUUAGUUGGGCACUCUAGAGAGACUGCCGGUGAUAAACCGGAGAAGGUGUGGAUGACGUCAAGUCAUCAUGCCCCUUACAUCUGGGCUACACACGUACUACAAUGCUACGGACAAAGGGCUGCAAGUUCGCGAGGACAAGCAAAUCCCAUAAACGUGGCUCAG
RNAcentral lists this ribosomal RNA (370 nucleotides) under uncultured bacterium. Its description in RNAcentral is "bacterial SSU rRNA". It matches the Rfam family "Bacterial small subunit ribosomal RNA", at positions 917 to 1291 of the family's 1533-position model. The record is from RNAcentral.